This 1407-nucleotide long non-coding RNA is filed under the name Coffea arabica (coffee). RNAcentral describes it as "long non-coding RNA (CARA_LNC007372)". The record is from RNAcentral. Lineage: Eukaryota; Viridiplantae; Streptophyta; Magnoliopsida; Gentianales; Rubiaceae.
ACUUUCAAAUUAUCACCAUAACCAAUAAUUACAAUUAAAGUACUUAUAACUCCUAGUAGUUUUCCAACCAACCAAUUAAACUUUCAUCCUUGCAAAAAAAAACAUAAUAUUUGUUUUAACAUUCAUCAAACAGCUAGAAUGUCCUACUAAUUGUUUGCCACGAUUUCACCAAAAUAGCACUAGAUAAAUUAAAAUCAACUAAACCACUAGUAGACCAACUUCUUGUAAUAUGUGCAGCAACACUUUGUCCUUUUACAGUUAGAGCACUUCCAUAUAAGUGGAUAAGUAUCCAUAUGCUGCAACACCUUGUCCACUUUUGAAUUUCAGCACAUCAAUCUUCGCAAAUUUUUACCUAUAGCAUAAGUAUAUUAUGUAUUAAAAUCUAUCGUAAUUAUCAAAUGAAACAAACAUAUCAGAUAUUAACAGUUAACAUAAUUUGAAAGCUAGAAAAGGAAAAACAUACUAGUUUUGUUGGCCAAGCUAUAGGAGCACCAAUUGAAUCAGCAAUUGUCUGCAAAGGCACAUAAGGCCUAAUCAAAUGCUCAUCACGUUCAACCACAACUUGAACUAGUACUUCACACCAAUUCGAACCUAGUGGUUGGCCCCCAACUAUUGUAGAAGGAUCAAGGGAUUGAAGCCGUCCAAUUGCCACAACUUUUGUUGGCUCAUCUAAGCUAAAAAGAGAAAUCCAGUCUCCCUCCUACAUGAAAAUGCAAAACUCGAAACAUCAGAAAACUAACCAUAUGCAAAGCAGUCACAUCAAAAUUCCAGUCCAUGUUGUGUAGCAAGUAACAUUAUAGUAAGAAAACUAUGAAUCAUACUUCUACAAAAGUCCACAACUACUCAAGAGUAACAUGUAACAAAUACAAAAAUAACUAAACUAAAAUUGCUUUCAAACUGUAAUAGCAAAACAUAUCUACAUGGUCGGACCAUUUCAAGGAAAUCCCUUUCAAGCAAAACAGCAAAAGUGUUACUAAUGUUGAUACAGCCAGCAGCGCAUAUCAAAUGUCUAUCGAAUAGCCUUUGGGAUACUCAGUUAGCAUAUUUCCAUCAACUCUACGCUUCAGUCAGAUUGGAGAAAUUAAAAGCUUCAACAUUACAGUUCAAGUAAUAAACACAGCACAGAGAAAUGUAAUCUUUGGUCAGCAUCAUCUUAGUAAUCUUUGGUCAUUCAUGCAAAGAGUAACAUGAGAUAAAAAUAAAAAUAAAUAAACUAACAUGCUUUCAUAUCGUAAUACCACAACAUGCCUAAAUAUCAUAUCAUUAUCAAGCAAAGAGGACUGGCAUUACCGAACAAAUAUAUUAAAAAACUUACUUUAAGAGGUCUAAGACUGGAACUUGAGGUUGAGAUAUGAUUAGAUGAUGUUGAAGUGAUUCUUGAUUGAUUCAGCAAGUUAUGACCAUUUU